Homo sapiens (human) is the source of this 4486-nucleotide long non-coding RNA. RefSeq lists it as uncharacterized. The transcript is spliced from 5 exons. Lineage: Eukaryota; Metazoa; Chordata; Mammalia; Primates; Hominidae. The record is from RefSeq and is a predicted model, not a curated record.
UGAGACAGUUUCAGUGUCAGCCACCAGCAGCAGCUUGAUUUGCAGUUUCUUUUACGGCAAGACAAAUGUGUAUUUUCCUUUCAAACCCCAGCAUGAUGUUACUUGUUCCUUUAUCCCUCUGGGCGAUGAAAGAGUGAAUUGCGUCACUAAAAGCAAUUAGCAGGAAGCAGUGAGAACAUUAUCAAAGAUUGUUUACUAGCAUUUUGGAGAAAACAAUAGUUAAUGUGGAGGUCUUCCAGUCAAUUACUAAUGAGAGUACGUUAAUAGCCAGGCUUCAUCUCCAAACCCAAAACAAAAUACAGGGAGAAUUUCGUGUUUCAAUCUUUUUCUUGCGUGCGUGUGCGUGUGUGAAGGAUAAGAGGGAAGAGCUGCUUUCAGAGUUCACAAGCCUGGUAAGAAGGGCUGAUUAAAGCUAUUCCCAAUGUCACAUAGAUUGUUAUGGAGCUAAUAACCACUGUCAACUGUAAUUUUUGCAGUGCCCUCCUACAGAACUUCCUACAAUGAUGGAAAUUCUCUGUAUCUGUUUUAUCCAAUACUAAGAAAACAAAUUAUAAAUUUUCUUUCAUUUUAAAUAACUUAAACAGCCGUAGGUAGUUCUAUCAGACAGUGUAGCCCACCGUCUGUCUUCAAUCAUCCAGGCCCAAGACAAGCUUGGGGCUGGUCCCUGGGUCUCCAGGAGAGCCCAGCAAGCUGAACAAUGGCAACCACUGGUAGGUGUGAAAUGCCAGCCAGUUCAGUGAGACACAGGGCACAGCAAGAACCAAACCCCGAGACUGCCAUGGAAUCAGGACACAUCUUUGUUUUGAGUGCAGAGCCCGCUGUCAGCAGCUGGGGGCUGACCCCGGGGGCCCUAAGAGUCCUGUAUUAGGGAGGAGAACAGGUUUUUCUAAAAGAUGUCUUUAGAACACUUCCAUUAGGAUUCUGAAUUUUCCCAAGGAUAACCUAAAAUGUGCCAAGUCUUCUGUGUGUUCAGAACAAGGUCGGCUUUCUGCCUAAGGUCCAAACUUUCCAAGUCACAAAACAAGAGGGACCCAGCAAUGUGUUUAAAGGGAAAUGUCAUCUUUCAGGUGAUGAGAUCUAAGAUUUUUUUGUUGGUACAAAAAAGGGAAACAACUAUUGAUACAGAGACGAAGGGCAUCAAAUCUUCCUCACUUCACUGAGCUUUCUUUAAAAGGACAGAUUUGUGUUUUGAUUCUGAAUUCUGCCUCCCUGGACACAGCUGCUCAGAGCAAAUGACACCGGAGUCCCUAGGUACUUUCCAAGAUGAUUUGGUCUAACAGGUGCCUUGAAGUCACACAUAGCUGGAUGACACACCUGGCCCUGAUGCUUAUUAGCUGCGGGGCCUUGGCCUAAUUGUAAAAACUUCAGAAAUCCCUGUUCUUCAUAUGUACAAUGGUCAUAAUUAUAUGAGUAAAACACACAUAAAGUAUGGAUCCUACAUCUUCCAGAAUUGGUUCUCAGAACAUAUUUGUAGUUUCCUGCUCUUCUAGUCAAUGGCAGUCCCUCUCGUCCACACUACUGUCCCUCCAUCUUUUGGAAACAAUGAUUAUGUAUUAUUCUGACCUAUUGGGAAGUGCCUUUUUUUCAUGAAAAUGAACUGGCUUUUCAUAAUUUGAAAAUAUGUAUUUAUUUAUACCUGCCUUUUUGUAACAAAAUAUUAAAAUAAAAUUUCAACCAGGGAUGGAGAAAGGAAUGACCUGCUCCCCACAACAGGGCAAUAUGGUUACCAUGCCUGAACGCACCACUUGGCUCUAGGUCUUCUGAGGGGGCCUCCAGAGCAACGUAAGAUAUACCAGCCUUGUUGGCAGGAGUGGUAGGUACGCAUUUUGCCCAACAUUGAGUUCCAACAUAAGCCUGUCAUGUCAGCACUUAGGGAAUGCUGGUCAAUGAAACAGACACUGUCCUCUGCAGGAGGUUUCAUGUUAUCACUUCUUGAAAUGAUUUCCAAUGUUAGCCCUGGACUCUUACCAAGGCCAUUCAAUGCAAGUGAUUCUGAAAGACCUUCAUCUCUAAAAUACAAGAGAAGUAGGGGGCAGUUCUUGAGCCUACAGAUUCUCAUGAAGCAAAUAGUGGCUGGUAUCAUUUCGAUCUGUGUCCUCACCAAAUCUCAUGUGGAAUUGUAGUCCCCAGUGUUGGAGGUGGGUCCUGGUGGGAGGUGACUGGAUCAUGGGGGUGGAAUGCUCAUGAAUGUUUUAGCGCCAUCCUCCCCUUGGUACUGUAUAGUGAUAAAGUCCUCUUGAGAUCUGGUUGUUUAAGUGUGUGGCACCUCCUCCUCCCUCUUUUCCUCCUGCUGUGGCCAUGUGAAGCUCCUCGCUGACCCUGCCCCACCUUCUACCAUGAUUGGAUCAUGAUUGGGAGUUUCCUGUGGCCUCCCCAGAAGCAGAAGCUGUGAUGCUUCCUGUACAGCCUACAGAACCGUGAACCAAUUAAACCUCUUUUCUUUAUAAAUUAGUCAGUCUUAGGCAUUUCUUUAUAGUAAUGCGAGAAUGGACUAAUACAGUGUCCCUAACACAGACAUCUUCUGGGGUUUCAUCUGAAAUCUCUCCUGCAGGAGUCCAGGGAACACAGAAGCCAGGCAAUUUCCAUGCCAAGGAUUCUGCGACCAGAGCUUAUACUUCGUGGUCAACAUGUAUAAGCUUGGGGAGAGAGUGGAGUGAUGCAGUAGCAGAGCUGCACAUGAGACAGGCAGAAGGAUCAGCAAGUAUCAACUCGGGGACCUGCUAGCCAAACGUGGCACAGUCGAGCACUCUCUAUUUGUUCCUUCACUUUCCAGUUCUGUGGAGCUGUCUUGCCAAUAAAUAAAAGGAGGAAGAUUAAAGGAGAGAAGAUUUAAAGAGUGUGUGAAGAGCAAUUCAAAGUCUAGCACUGUUUCUGGAAAACAAUUUCAAGUUCAAGCCCAGUGAGGCCACUGCCAUGCACAGAAGACAGACAGCACCAUCAGACUGCAUAGUGUUAAAUGAUCGAUUUUUGGACUAUUCAAGCUUUUUAUAUCCAUUAACUCCAAUUAAUUGGAUGGACUUAUCUUCCUUGGUGACUUGGUUUAUCGUGUGAGCCAUUCUGGCAGAAGUUAGACUUCAUGUAACCCCAUAAUGAAUUCCUGUCUAGUAGAUCACUCUAAUAGGCAAAACAUAUCGCAGCUACCCUCUGCCGGCUUCAGAGACUGGGGUCACUAUCAAACUGGUCCCUGGCCCACCUGCUUAAAUGCUGUGGCUCCUAACCACUCUUUGUGACUUUGCUGCAGCUACAGAUAUCAAGAACUCCAGUGGGCCAUGGUACUUCUUGGUCCAUGGCCGAGGGAUUAUGCAAAAGCUACAUCCAUGCAGGAGAUUUCCUUCAUAUUUGGAUAGUUUCAAAGAUAAGAGCAUCUUAUAAUAAAGGGGAAAGAAACUUCAGAAUGUCACAGGCAAAGUCUUAGGAAGUGAAGAUAUAAAGCCAAAAUAGGAGUAAAAUGUUCGUACUUGCCAUGAAGUUAAUUAACAUUCUUACUUGGAAAAAGUCAAGGUCAAACAUAAUUCAUCAAACAUAAUUCAGAGUUACUUGGCUUUAACGGAAGUGAUUCCUCAAGUCUCCCUUCAGGUUUUAAGACUUAUUAUGGAAAGCAUAAUAAAGUGUCCUACGUUUAUACAUCUGCUGAACCAUGUUAUGAAAUCCAGUACACUGUAGGCCCUGGGAUGGGGCAAGGAGCCAUUGUCCCUCUUUGCAGGUGAGAAACUGCAUCUCUGAGGAGCCAGUCACUUAUCCAAAGUGCAUCCUGCUUGGUGUUUCUAGCUGUUACCGUCUUCUGGCUGAGGACCAAUGCAAAACCCCAGUGGUGCCUCUUGUCAAGGCUAGCUGGUGCUCAUGCAGGUAUGACUUAGGUUUUGCAAUGAUGAAGCCAAAGCGCCUUGGAAGCAUUUUCCCUGCCCCGCUAACUAACUUCAUGCCAACUAGUCUGAAGGGUUCUACUCCACAGUUUCCAACAGUGCUUCUUAAGAUUGGAAAACAAAUGUACGGUAGAUGUUACUGCUUAGCUAUUGUCCUUUUAGACCUGUGCACUUUUUAAACCUCAUUUCAGUCUCUCACAUUGCAAAGAAGCUAGGGCAGGGCAAACACAAUAUUAGCUGAGGGGUCAGUAGACUCGAGGCUCAGUCCCGGCUCUUCCACUUGUUGGCAUGGUCUUCACCCCUCCAGACUAGCCUUUGCAUAGGAGUAAGACCUGCCUAUCCUAGCCUUUGCAUGGGAGUAAGGCCUGCCCAUCUCACAGGGACGUAAAGAAAUGAAAUAGCAAGAAGGGUGCAUUACAAAUUGCCAAGCAUUAGAAGUGUCAAAUACUGGAGAGCAACAAACAAAAAGGGAAAGAAUCAGAAACAGAAAGAGAGCAGGUGUGUGUGGUGGGGGAGCACUGCCUUCAGAAUUAAAACUAUGUUACAAGUUGGCUUCAUGCAAAAGCUCAGAAGAAGCUGUGUCCAGUCUUCUGAGGACAAAAUGAGAAUAAAUAUCAAACACA